RNAcentral lists this unclassified non-coding RNA (737 nucleotides) under Hevea brasiliensis (rubber tree). Lineage: Eukaryota; Viridiplantae; Streptophyta; Magnoliopsida; Malpighiales; Euphorbiaceae. The record is from RNAcentral.
UUUACAAGCUGCUCAUGAACUAUUUGAGGCUUGGCUCUAUAAAAGUUCAGCUUGGCUUUAUUCUAUCCAUUGACUAAACGAGCCGAGCUCGAGUCUAAAGCUUAUUUCUUUUUGGUUCAUUAAGGGUCGCGAGCUCACUUAUUUUAUAGGUUCAAGAGCCAGCUUGUGAACAAGCUUGUAAAGUGGCUCGUUUAACUAAAAUUAUUUAGUUUUUAAAUAUGUUAUCUUAAACCUAAUCAAAACUAUAUAGUUUUGAAUUUCAUAGCCAUAAAUCUAAAACUUGUUAGAGUCGUAAAUAAGUCGAGCUGCUCGAGAAUCAGCUCGAUAAAAACUUGGCUUUGCUUGGCUCAUUUUUUAAAUAAGCCAGCUCAAAAAAAUUUUGACAAGCCAAGCUUGAGCUCUUCAAAGUUUGGUUUGGCUCAAUUCAUUUACAUCCCUAGUGGUGCAGUCAGUUGGGGAAAGGAAUGGAUUGUGAUGGACAUUGCGAUGGUUUAGGAACACAAGAAAGAGGGCACAACAGGGACAAAAAUCACGGAAAAAAAAUGGAAAACAAGAUUUUCUCUGAUUAAUUUAGUUGGGACACAGGAAAAAUGAAUUCAAAAACUUUGAUACCACAUUAAUGUAAAACCAAUAGAAAAUACCAAAGGAAAAAAGAAACAAGCUGUGAAAUUUAUUAAUUCUCAAUUUUCAAUAAUAAUAGCUAUGGAAAAAUGCCUAAAUUACAUAGGUAUUUAUAG